This 651-nucleotide long non-coding RNA is filed under the name Heterocephalus glaber (naked mole-rat). RNAcentral describes it as "lncRNA (ENSHGLG00000033157.1)". The record is from RNAcentral. Lineage: Eukaryota; Metazoa; Chordata; Mammalia; Rodentia; Bathyergidae.
GAGGGGGCGCUGCAGGGCGGCCGGACGAUGCCCACGUCAGGCCGCGGGCGCGAGAAAGCCUUCAGCCACACUCGCCGAUCCAAGGGAUGGCCAAGGAUCUGCCCCUGCCCAGGCCCACGCCCAGCCUGGGGGAAUCAUUGAGAGGGAAGGCUCGGCUUCCCCCGUCACCUCGUCCACCCUGAGCCACGUCCACCGCGCUGGGGUUGGCCCUCCCGCACACUCUGGUGGUUUCCUGUCUGCGAGCACGGAAGUAAACAAAGACCAUCCAACCAACAAGGACUCUCGCUCAGGAGUGAUGCCAUGGCAGGACGGGGAGAGCUUCAGAGUGGACAGGAGACCAUUUCCGGUGUGCCUGGCAGGAGGCUUCCAGCCUAGGGAUCAGGAGGCAGCUACCUGGACGCGGGACACCCCAUUUAAUUGGCCAGAGGAACAUAUUUGGCUUUUGCUUGGAAAAGAGGAUAAGUUGGAAACAGGUGCGACAUUCCUGUGUAACUCCAAAGGAGACAGUCCCAGGUCGGGGAGCUGAGGCAGCAGGCCUCAGAAGGAGCUGGGAGCGUGCUCAGGAAAGCCCCGGAGACAUGUGAAAGGCAGGCCCUCGAGGAAUCUGGGAGACAGCAGCCAGAGAGCACGGGAAGAGAAUAUUGUGGCUGC